This 495-nucleotide ribosomal RNA is filed under the name uncultured bacterium. Its description in RNAcentral is "partial 16S ribosomal RNA". It matches the Rfam family "Bacterial small subunit ribosomal RNA", at positions 28 to 507 of the family's 1533-position model. The record is from RNAcentral.
GAUGAACGCUGGCGGCGUGCCUAAUACAUGCAAGUAGAACGCUGAAGGAGGAGCUUGCUCUUCUGGAUGAGUUGCGAACGGGUGAGUAACGCGUAGGUAACCUGCCUGGUAGCGGGGGAUAACUAUUGGAAACGAUAGCUAAUACCGCAUGACAACAGUUAUUGCAUGAUAACUGUUUAAAAGGGGCAACUGCUCCACUACCAGAUGGACCUGCGUUGUAUUAGCUAGUUGGUGAGGUAACGGCUCACCAAGGCGACGAUACAUAGCCGACCGGAGAGGGUGAUCGGCCACACUGGGACUGAGACACGGCACAGACUCCUACGGGAGGCAGCAGUAGGGAAUCUUCGGCAAUGGACGGAAGUCUGACCGAGCAACGCCGCGUGAGUGAAGAAGGUUUUCGGAUCGUAAAGCUCUGUUGUAAGAGAAGAACGAGUGUGAGAGUGGAAAGUUCACACUGUGACGGUAUCUUACCAGAAAGGGACGGCUAACUACGUG